Molecule: ribosomal RNA, 467 nt
Filed under: uncultured bacterium
Lineage: Bacteria
Description: partial 16S ribosomal RNA
Rfam family: Bacterial small subunit ribosomal RNA
Source: RNAcentral
GACGAACGCUGGCGGCGUGCUUAACACAUGCAAGUCGAACGGAAAGGCCCUGCUUUUGUGGGGUGCUCGAGUGGCGAACGGGUGAGUAACACGUGAGUAACCUGCCCUUGACUUUGGGAUAACUUCAGGAAACUGGGGCUAAUACCGGAUAGGAGCUCCUGCUGCAUGGUGGGGGUUGGAAAGUUUCGGCGGUUGGGAUGGACUCGCGGCUUAUCAGCUUGUUGGUGGGGUAGUGGCUUACCAAGGCUUUGACGGGUAGCCGGCCUGAGAGGGUGACCGGCCACAUUGGGACUGAGAUACGGCCCAGACUCCUACGGGAGGCAGCAGUGGGGAAUAUUGCACAAUGGGCGGAAGCCUGAUGCAGCAACGCCGCGUGCGGGAUGACGGCCUUCGGGUUGUAACCCGUUUUCGCCUGUGACGAAGCGUGAGUGACGGUAAUGGGUAAAGAAGCACCGGCUAACUACGUG